AGCAGCCGCGGUAAUUCCAGCUCCAAUAGCGUAUAUUAAAGUUGUUGCAGUUAAAAAGCUCGUAGUUGAAUUUCGGGACCAAUUUGUUGGUCGUGCCUCGGUACGUACUGGUAUUAUUGGUUUCUCCCUUCUGAAGAACCUCGAUGCCAUUAAUUUGGUGUCGUGGGGAAUCAGGACUGUUACUUUGAAAAAAUUAGAGUGUUUAAAGCAAGCAUACGCUUGAAUACAUUAGCAUGGAAUAAUGAAAUAGGACGUUUGAUUCUAUUUUGUUGGUUUCUAGGAUCGACGUAAUGAUUAAUAGGGAUAGUUGGGGGCAUUAGUAUUCAAUUGUCAGAGGUGAAAUUCUUGGAUUUAUUGAAGACUAACUACUGCGAAAGCAUUUGCCAAGGAUGUUUUCAUUAAUCAAGAACGAAAGUUAGGGGAUCGAAGACGAUCAGAUACCGUCGUAGUCUUAACCAUAAACUAU
This 466-nucleotide unclassified non-coding RNA is filed under the name uncultured Paraglomus. Its description in RNAcentral is "SSU rRNA". It matches the Rfam family "Eukaryotic small subunit ribosomal RNA", at positions 569 to 1040 of the family's 1831-position model. The record is from RNAcentral. Lineage: Eukaryota; Fungi; Glomeromycota; Glomeromycetes; Paraglomerales; Paraglomeraceae.